AAUUAAAACAACAUCUUGGCACGGUUGUCUAUAUUUAUUUACAAUAAACACGACAGUAAAAUUGAAUACUUAUUAUAAAUCCAUUUUAAAAAUAUUAAAAGUACUAGGUACCCUGCGGUAAAAAUAUUAUGAUUUUAAAAGUUAUUAUCGUUCUUAUGGUCACAUUCGUUCGUAUUAUUGUCAAUUUUUUUAGCCAAGAAACGUUACAAGAACAUGUAAAUGUUUAUAGUAAAUAUUAUUAAAGGUUUUCAAUAGGUACUGAAAUCACGCGAAGAAAUCCUUUCUCUUAUCACAGGCUCCAUUUUUAUUAAUAAAGAAAGGAAAAGAUACGUCGCAUUUUUUUUGUUAAGCAGGUGUCUUAAUACCAACGGCAACGUAUCUUAUAUUAUCUUUAUUAGUAGAAAUUUCCCAUUUAAUUCCAUAACUUAUUAAAUUAUGAAAAGCAAUAUAUGUUCUAUAUUUAUUUGUCAAACACAGCUAGUCUAGUUAGUCUCCCUAACAAAAGUAAGACUUUAAACUACAUGGAUAUGUUGGGUUUGAAUUGUUUUACAAUCUUGAUAUCGAUUAGCGGUAAGAGAUCAAAAAAGCUCUUUAAUUAACAUUGUUAUUAUAUAACAACUGCAAGAAGACACCAGACAGUAAAUAGAACCUUAUAGCUAUUAUUUUUAUUUAAGAAACUACGUAUUUGUUAUAUUGUCAAGACUAUCAUGUUUUUUACGUUUUUUAUCAAUUCUUGUAUUGUGAUUGACAACAUAAACUUAUUUGAUUAGCUAAACUAUAUCUGUCACAGGUUAAACUGGCCAAAGUCGUUUUGUAAAAAUGUCCGAUAUAACCUAAGUAUCACUAGCCUAUUUAAAACUUAUAUCCAUGCUUAAUUAAUUCAUUGUCACAACAACAUUUAACAUCGAUACAUUAUAGUGUUUCAUUUAGAUUAAAUUUAUUGUCUAUACUA
Long non-coding RNA from Cydia splendana, 952 nucleotides. RefSeq lists it as uncharacterized. The transcript is spliced from 2 exons. The record is from RefSeq and is a predicted model, not a curated record. Lineage: Eukaryota; Metazoa; Arthropoda; Insecta; Lepidoptera; Tortricidae.